CACACUCUAGGAACCACCCAAGUCCCUCCAUAGGUCAAAGGGUUCCUUAGCCCAGACUCUAAUCGUCCCUUCAACUAACCACCGGUUCCUCUAGUGCAGAUACUUACACAAGCCAUAAAAGUGACAUAAAUAAAUGAAAGGAGAUGGUGUCAUAGAAACAGGAGUGUAAACACAGCAACUACAGACCUAACAUUCAGCCUUUGUGGUGAGGACAUAGUAGGGAAGGGAAAGGCGGGGCCCAUAGGACUGUUGAGGAAUCAGCUCUAACUGAUGAUUGCCAAUGCAGAUAAAGCACUGGCAGAGUUUUCCAGCUUCUCAACAGAAGCAGAAGUCCAAGUGAUGAGGUUUAAGCUGCAAAGACGUAUUACAUAAGAACAAGGGAAGCUGCUUUAUGGCACGCUGGUGAAGGAUCCUGCUGAUUCCUCCUGAGCGGCUCUCGACUUCCUUUAUGGCAUCAAAGGCCCCAGAAACUGUUAGUGAAGAUGACGUGGAGGAGGGGAUAAUUUUUCUGUUUCCUGAGGUGCCGUUUCUCCUUGUAUGCUUGCUGUUUGGGAAGUUCCAGACCAUGACUGACUGGCCCCAUUGCUCUGGGCCUGUGGCACGGUAGCACAUCACAUUGGGAGCGUGUGGAAGAGCAAAACCACUCACCCCAUGGCCCGAAGGGAGGAAGAGGAAGGGGCUAAGGUCCCACAGUCCUCUUUCAGGGGACCUGACAACCUCUGGAUAGGCCCCACCUUUCAACUUCCGCCAUCUCUCAAAAGCACAUCUAACCUUUAACACACUGGGCCUCUCUCUGGGGGACCCUCAACAUCCAAACUAUAGCAGCACCUAAAUAACAACCUUAAGUAACCCACAGAUACUUCAGCUCCCCUUGCCCAAAUUAAUGACAUUCUCCAACAAAAUACAGCCCUGACCCCAUUAUCAAACCCUAAGUGGCUUUCAAAUAAUGCCCUAAGACCUUAUAAUACCUGUCCUAUAAUCAAGUUUCUA
This 990-nucleotide long non-coding RNA is filed under the name Heterocephalus glaber (naked mole-rat). RNAcentral's name for it is "lncRNA (ENSHGLG00000032000.1)". The record is from RNAcentral. Lineage: Eukaryota; Metazoa; Chordata; Mammalia; Rodentia; Bathyergidae.